RNAcentral lists this long non-coding RNA (336 nucleotides) under Androctonus crassicauda. The record is from RNAcentral. Lineage: Eukaryota; Metazoa; Arthropoda; Arachnida; Scorpiones; Buthidae.
UCCUGAAUGUUUGGAUCCUGGGGAUGGUAUCCCGGUUGUCGAGGGUUUAAUGGAGAAUUGUGGUGGUCUCGAGGGGGAGAGCAUUCGCUGGGGAUGCGUCUUGCAAAAUGGUGGAAGUACCAAUCGGCACAAAGAUUCGAACAUGAGGAAUGAAUGGCAAAAAGUUAAGAGAACAAUUGUAAUGGUACAAAGUGUCUUUAGUUGCUUUCCUUUAUACAAACUGAUCUAUUCAUACUGCUCUUAUGCUUGUAAUUGCAUACUUGGACCAAAUAAUUGAAAACUGUUUUUCUCUUUCUUGGUCAUUUUUGAUAAUGUAAUGGGCUCAGACAUAUCGUC